AUGGAAUCUUAUCAUGAUUGUAUCUCCUUUGACACAACGUAUAUGACUAACAUGUACAACAUGCCCUUUGCACCAUUCGUUGGGAUUAACAGGCAUGGGCAAUCAUUCAUGUUGGGCUGUGGCUUUGUUAGGCAAGAGUUGGCGUCAAGCUUUGAUUGGCUAUUUGAAACCUUCCUUGAGGCAAUGCAUAAUGUAGCACCCACCAACAUCAUAACCGACCAAGACAUCGCAAUGGCACAGUCAAUUAAAAAGAUCUUCCCUACAAGUGUGCACCGUUGUUGCCGCUGGCAUAUUAUGAAAAAGGCACAAGAAAAGCUUGGAGCAUUGCUGGGGCGAAACCCUGGCUUAUCCAAAGAUUUCAACAACUGUGUUGACUUUAGCUUGACGCCGGAAGAAUUUGAGGCAGGGUGGAGUGAGCUGAUGAUGAAGUAUGAGGCUAUGACUGACUCUCACUUCGAGAAUCUAUACAAGUACAGAGAGACAUGGGUACCCUGCUACUUCAAGCACCAUUUCUUCCCUUUCUUGCAGUCAACUCAACGCAGCGAGGGGUUCAAUGAUGUCCUUAAGCGAUAUGUGAACCCACACAAGUCCAUUUUGAACUUUGUGAAGCACUAUCAGAAAAUCCAAACACACAUACUAGUCCGGGAGGGUUCAAAAGACUACAGGACAGCACAUUUACAGACUGAAAUGUGGUCAUCUUACCCAAUAGAGAAGCAGAUGUACGGAUCGUAUACUAGGGACUUGUACAAGAAGUUUCGUGAUGAGUUUCAGUUGACUACAAGGUAUAAUGUGUGA
This 795-nucleotide ribosomal RNA is filed under the name Triticum aestivum (bread wheat). RNAcentral's name for it is "partial small subunit ribosomal RNA". The record is from RNAcentral. Lineage: Eukaryota; Viridiplantae; Streptophyta; Magnoliopsida; Poales; Poaceae.